RNAcentral lists this ribosomal RNA (490 nucleotides) under Bartonella vinsonii subsp. arupensis. Its description in RNAcentral is "bacterial SSU rRNA". It matches the Rfam family "Bacterial small subunit ribosomal RNA", at positions 97 to 622 of the family's 1533-position model. Lineage: Bacteria; Pseudomonadati; Pseudomonadota; Alphaproteobacteria; Hyphomicrobiales; Bartonellaceae. The record is from RNAcentral.
GGCAAACGGGUGAGUAACGCGUGGGAAUCUACCCAUCUCUACGGAAUAACACAGAGAAAUUUGUGCUAAUACCGUAUACGUCCUUAGGGAGAAAGAUUUAUCGGAGAUGGAUGAGCCCGCGUUGGAUUAGCUAGUUGGUGAGGUAACGGCUCACCAAGGCGACGAUCCAUAGCUGGUCUGAGAGGAUGAUCAGCCACACUGGGACUGAGACACGGCCCAGACUCCUACGGGAGGCAGCAGUGGGGAAUAUUGGACAAUGGGGGCAACCCUGAUCCAGCCAUGCCGCGUGAGUGAUGAAGGCCCUAGGGUUGUAAAGCUCUUUCACCGGUGAAGAUAAUGACGGUAACCGGAGAAGAAGCCCCGGCUAACAACGUGCCAGCAGCCGCCCUAAUACGAAGGGGGCUAGCGUUGUUCGGAUUUACUGGGCGUAAAGCGCAGCUAGGCGGAAUUUUAAGUCAGAGGUGAAAUCCCAGGGCUCAACCCUGGAACU